CCUACGGGUGGCAGCAGUGGGGAAUAUUGGGCAAUGGGCGCAAGCCUGACCCAGCAACGCCGCGUGAAGGAAGAAGGUUUUCGGGUUGUAAACCUCUUUUCUGGGGGACGAACAAAUGACGGUACCCCAGGAAUAAGCUACGGCUAACUACGUCCCAGCAGCCGCGGUAAUACGUAGGGGGCAAGCGUUAUCCGGAUUUCUUGGGUGUAAAGGGCGGGUAGGCGGGAAUGCAAGUCAGAUGUGAAAACUCAGGGCUCAACCCUGGGCCUGCAUUGGAAACUGUGUAUCUUGAGUGCAAGAGAGGCAAUCGGAAUUCCGUGUGUAGCGGUGAAAUGCGUAGAUAUACGGAGGAACACCAGUGGCGAAGGCGGAUUGCUGGACAGUAACUGACGCUGAGGCGCGAAAGCGUGGGGAGCAAACAGGAUUAGAUACCCGAGUAGUC
This 442-nucleotide ribosomal RNA is filed under the name uncultured bacterium. Its description in RNAcentral is "partial 16S ribosomal RNA". It matches the Rfam family "Bacterial small subunit ribosomal RNA", at positions 338 to 795 of the family's 1533-position model. The record is from RNAcentral.